UACAGAGGGGGCAAGCGUUAUUCGGAAUUAUUGGGCGUAAAGGGCGCGUAGGCGGCCAAGCAAGUCAGGGGUGAAAUCCCUCGGCUCAACCGAGGAAUGGCCUCUGAAACUGCAUGGCUUGAGACCGGGAGAGGGUGGUGGAAUUCCCAGUGUAGCGGUGAAAUGCGUAGAUAUUGGGAGGAACACCGGUGGCGAAGGCGGCCACCUGGACCGGUUCUGACGCUGAUGCGCGAAAGUGUGGGGAGCAAACAGG
RNAcentral lists this ribosomal RNA (253 nucleotides) under uncultured bacterium. RNAcentral's name for it is "partial 16S ribosomal RNA". It matches the Rfam family "Bacterial small subunit ribosomal RNA", at positions 524 to 776 of the family's 1533-position model. The record is from RNAcentral.